Molecule: ribosomal RNA, 132 nt
Organism: Chlorocebus sabaeus (green monkey)
Lineage: Eukaryota; Metazoa; Chordata; Mammalia; Primates; Cercopithecidae
Source: Ensembl
UCCACUCCCUUGGGAUGUCCAGUCACUUGUCAGCAUAUAAGGCCAUACCACCCUGGUCCUGGAAACUAAGCAGGAUAAGGCUUGGCCAGGAAUUGGAUAGGAGAUUGCCUGGGAAUACUGGAAGAGGUGGAC